RNAcentral lists this long non-coding RNA (819 nucleotides) under Anser cygnoides (Swan goose). RNAcentral describes it as "lncRNA (ENSACDG00005018343.1)". Lineage: Eukaryota; Metazoa; Chordata; Aves; Anseriformes; Anatidae. The record is from RNAcentral.
GAGAUCUAACAUUUGAUUCUUGCAAGCGAAAGCUCCUAGUAUUACAGCCCGAUAAAACAUCAAUCAGCACCUGGCAAUGUUCCUUUCUUCUGCUGCAGCCCCUCCCUGAUCUGCAUUCCCUCCAGUGGAAACUGUGCACAAGCAUCUUAAAUGCAUCCACCAGGCUUCUCCCUGCAGGCAAAGGAUAGCUCUGAGGGCAGACACUGGAGCGUGACUGGUGUCACAGCCCAUCCUCGUCACACACCUGUCACUCUGCGUGUGACGGAGAAAAAAAGACAGGAGGAGUCCAGCAUGCUGAGAUGCCAAAGAAGAGCAUGUCAGGCUCGGUGCUGUAGGCAUUGGGAGAGGGUGGAGGUCUGUGCUUGUGUCCUUGAGAGGAGGUUGCAGUGAAGAGGAGAGUUACCUGAGGACUGCAGCAAGUUGUCUUUACCUGGCCAGGAAUGCCAGGUAGCCCCAGACUGAGUCACUUUGCAUGGCAGAGCAUAUAAAAAACUGAAGGUUAUCACUAAUGGGAAUCUUGGCUAGAAAAACCAGCAGGAUCCCUCCAGCCUGUGCAUGAUUUCCACCCUCAAACAUUCUAAAGCCUAAAAGUGAAAAGCCCAGCCCAUCUGGCUUCUGUCCUACUUUCUCUUACUUAUAUUUUGACAAUGUUCAUAUUCUGAAUGCUUUGGUUGGUUUCUGCAGCCUUCCUUUGGCUAGAAUGUGCCACUAGUUAUUUUUCCUACUAUCUUAAUGAAGCACGUUUAAAGUGUGAAGGUCGAAUGCAGGAGGAAAGAAACGCAAAUGGAAGAAUAAAAGGGCAAUCACGCUUAUGAAUCA